This 253-nucleotide ribosomal RNA is filed under the name uncultured bacterium. RNAcentral describes it as "partial 16S ribosomal RNA". It matches the Rfam family "Bacterial small subunit ribosomal RNA", at positions 524 to 776 of the family's 1533-position model. The record is from RNAcentral.
UACGUAGGGGGCGAGCGUUGUCCGGAAUUAUUGGGCGUAAAGAGCGUGUAGGCGGUUCGGUAAGUCUGCCGUGAAAACCCAGGGCUCAACCCUGGGCGUGCGGUGGAUACUGCCGGGCUAGAGGGUGGUAGAGGCGAGUGGAAUUCCCGGUGUAGCGGUGAAAUGCGCAGAUAUCGGGAAGAACACCCGUGGCGAAGGCGGUUCUCUGGGACGGUACUGACGCUGAGACGCGAAAGCGUGGGGAGCGAACAGG